This 506-nucleotide ribosomal RNA is filed under the name uncultured bacterium. RNAcentral describes it as "partial 16S ribosomal RNA". It matches the Rfam family "Bacterial small subunit ribosomal RNA", at positions 29 to 523 of the family's 1533-position model. The record is from RNAcentral.
AGUGAACGCUGGCGGUAGGCCUAACACAUGCAAGUCGAACGGCAGCACAGAGGAGCUUGCUCCUUGGGUGGCGAGUGGCGGACGGGUGAGGAAUACAUCGGAAUCUACUCUGUCGUGGGGGAUAACGUAGGGAAACUUACGCUAAUACCGCAUACGACCUACGGGUGAACGCAGGGGACCUACGGGCCUUGCGCGAUUGAAUGAGGCGAUGUCGGAUUAGCUAGUUGGCGGGGUAAAGGCCCACCAAGGCGACGAUCCGUAGCUGGUCUGAGAGGAUGAUCAGCCACACUGGAACUGAGACACGGUCCAGACUCCUACGGGAGGCAGCAGUGGGGAACAUUGGACAAUGGGCGCAAGCCUGAUCCAGCCAUACCGCGUGGGUGAAGAAGGCCUUCGGGUUGUAAAGCCCUUUUGUUGGGAAAGAAAUCCAGCUGGCUAAUACCCGGUUGGGAUGACGGUACCCAAAGAAUAAGCACCGGCUAACUUCGUGCCAGCCGCCGCAGUAA